AGAUAUUACCAAAAUCCUAAUAAUAGCUUUAAAUCCUUGCUUAUAUAUACCUAUGUAUAAAUUCCUUCAUAUCUCACAAAUAAAAUACUCAAAUAAUAUAAAAUUUUGAUAUAUAGCUUUUUAACCUAAUAAUAUAUAUUUUUUAAAAUUUUAAACUAAAAACUCAUCUAAAAACUUAAAGUAUGGCUGCAACGAUUACUAUCAACAAAACGACUCACUUAUUGCCUUUGAAUUACAUAUGUUGUCUUUAAUGUUCUAUAACUUCUACAUACAAACUCCAAAUACAAAAAUUCUUUCAUAAGAGAUGUAAAUCUUGAAAUUUCUAUUGCAACUAUUUCUCUUGAUCUCCAAAAUCUAUCAUAAAACUCUUCAUAUUUCCAAAAUAGUAAUAGUAUAUCAUUGAAAGAUACCUUAAUAUCAAACGACUAUAAUUUCAUCAUCUUAACUCCAAAUUGUAGCUUAAAUCCUAAACCUAAUAAUUCUUACUUUUGAUUUUUGAAUGUCAUAUUUGAAGUCAUCAAAAUCCUUGUUAUAGUCGUAGAUAUCUUGUUAAAUACCUAUAAGAUAUGGC
This 571-nucleotide long non-coding RNA is filed under the name Physcomitrium patens. Its description in RNAcentral is "long non-coding RNA (PPAT_LNC008050)". Lineage: Eukaryota; Viridiplantae; Streptophyta; Bryopsida; Funariales; Funariaceae. The record is from RNAcentral.